Molecule: long non-coding RNA, 517 nt
Filed under: Setaria viridis
Lineage: Eukaryota; Viridiplantae; Streptophyta; Magnoliopsida; Poales; Poaceae
Description: long non-coding RNA (SVIR_LNC005639)
Source: RNAcentral
AAAAAUCCAAAACUCAAUCAAACAAACUCCAAAAAUGAUGAAAUUUCAACCAUAGCCUCACAACAUAGCAAAAAGAAGCUUCUCCUAAGAAAUCAUCCCCAAAAGAUUUAUCAAUCAAAGGGAAUUCCAAAUCUUGUGAAGAGCACUAUUUUUUCAACCCUUAAACUUGAAUCACCCCGAUCUAUGAACUUGUGACGUUUCAAUAAAAUCCCUUUGGUGGAAAGGUUCAAAUCACGCCCAAGUUUAUUUCCAAACAAUCGGUUCGACUCAAAAUACCCCCCAACUCAUGAAUCAAACAAAAAUGUCAAGGGGGCAGAGAGGAAGAACAAGAACGUGAAGAACACAAACGGAAAUUGUAAAUCCAAAUAGGAUGGAACAAGAUAACAUGAAAUAGAUCUUUGGAUUACUACACCAUCUCCACUUAUAAGCCACACCUUAGCACAAUCAAUGCUAGGAUAGCAAAAAGAUCAAACAAAGAUCCACACGUCUCUCCAAAAGCCUCACACAAACAAAUUAG